CUCACAGUUUACAACUCUGGUUAAUCAGGCUCACAGUUUACAACCCUGGUUAAUCAGGCUCACAUUUACAACCCUGGUUAAUCAGGCUCACAGUUUACAACCCUGGUUAAUCAGGCUCACAGUUACAACCCUGGUUAAUCAGGCUCACAGUUUACAACUCUGGUUAAUCAGGCUCACAGUUUACAACCCUGGUUAAUCAGGCUCACAGUUUACAACCCUGGUUAAUCAGGCUCACAGUUCACAACCCUGGUUAAUGUGUAUGUCUGUUUCCACAACAACGAAAAUUAAUUUUACAUGGAAACGAAAAUAACGUCAAGGAAGUAUUCAUAAAAUGCAAGUUGUACCGGUUGAUUAUUCUCUCUCAUUGUGUGAGAAAGACAUGGAUCCACAAUUUAAUUCUGUCUCGUUAGAAUCUCUGUUGAAGAGCAAAUGGAAUCAAUCAGAAUGAGGUGCUUUAUCUAGCCCUCUAGUGGUGAAAGUUAUCCAAAUAUAUAUACUAUUGCACGGUGUAUUUUCCUGAUUAGAGCAGUAGUGUAAAGUGGUCAUUAAGAAAAAAAGUGUCUCUGAUGAAGAUUUCAGAAUGUGCGAAGACGCUAACGAGACACACUCCAACCGACCACUGCCAAUCAGCAUCAAUCAUUACACCACAUACAUAUAUACAGUACACUGAGCAAACAUUCAGAAGACCUUCCUAAUAUUGAGUCCCACCCCCUUUUGCCCUCAGAACAGCCUCAAUUCUUCGGGGCAUGGACUCUACAAGGUGUCAAAUGGAUGCUGGCUCAUGUUGACUCCAAUGCUUCCCACAGUUGUGUCAAGUUGGCUGGAUGUUCGUUGGGCGAUGGACCAUUCCUGAUACAUGCGAAUAACUGUUGAGCAUGAAAAACCCAGCAGCGUAGCAUUUUUUCACACAAACCGGGGCGCCUGGCACCUACUACCAUACCUCGUUCAAAGGCACUUAUAUUUUGUCUUGCCCAUUCACCCUCUGAAUGGCACACACACCCAAUCCAUUUCUCAGUUGUCUCAAGGCUUAAGUAUCCUUCUUUAACCUGCCUCUUCCACUUCAUCUACACUGAUUAAAGUGGAUUUAACAAGUGACAUCAAUAAGGGAUCAUAGCUUUCCCCUGGAUUCACCCGGUCAGUCUGUCAUGGAAAGAGCAAUGUUUUGUAUACUCAGUGUAAACAGGACCAUUAAACAUUAAAAUCACCUUCCUAGGGAUACACUCACACUCAAGCAAGAUCACCACCUUGAACCUGAUAGGCCACUCAUCCAUUCACCACCUCUUCCAGAAACAAAUCGAAGGACAUAAUGAGUGGGCCUGCUAACAAACCAGCAGACUCCAGGGAGG
This 1346-nucleotide long non-coding RNA is filed under the name Salmo salar (Atlantic salmon). RNAcentral describes it as "lncRNA (ENSSSAG00000088317.1)". The record is from RNAcentral. Lineage: Eukaryota; Metazoa; Chordata; Actinopteri; Salmoniformes; Salmonidae.